Molecule: ribosomal RNA, 441 nt
Filed under: uncultured bacterium
Lineage: Bacteria
Description: partial 16S ribosomal RNA
Rfam family: Bacterial small subunit ribosomal RNA
Source: RNAcentral
CCUACGGGAGGCAGCAGUGGGGAAUAUUGCACAAUGGGGGCAACCCUGAUGCAGCGACGCCGCGUGUGUGAAGAAGGCUUUCGGUAUGUAAAGCUCUAUCAGCAGGGAAGAAGAGAGUCGGUACCUGACUAAGAAGCACCGGCUAACUACGUGCCAGCAGCAGCGGUAAUACGUAGGGGGCAAGCGUUAUCCGGAUUUACUGGGUGUAAAGGGAGCGUAGUCGGCUGUGCAAGUCUGAAGUGAAAGCCCAGGGCUCAACCCUGGGACUGCAUUGGAAACUGGGGAGCUAGAGUGCUGGAGAGGGAAGUGGAAUUCCUAGUGUAGCGGUGAAAUGCGUAGAGAUUAGGAGGAACACCAGUGGCGAAGGCGGCCCACUGGACAGUAACUGACGUUGAGGUUCGAAAGCGUGGGGAGCAAACAGGAUUAGAUACCCCGGUAGUC